Molecule: unclassified non-coding RNA, 25 nt
Filed under: synthetic construct
Source: RNAcentral
GGAAGCAGGCUUCGGCCUUGUUUCC